RNA transcript from Diospyros lotus (date-plum), 2397 nucleotides. It is a transcript of the gene named nuclear pore complex protein NUP205-like, with no coding region annotated. The transcript has 7 exons. Lineage: Eukaryota; Viridiplantae; Streptophyta; Magnoliopsida; Ericales; Ebenaceae. The record is from RefSeq and is a predicted model, not a curated record.
CUGGCCGCUUAUUUCUUCAGUCAGCUAUGUAAAAACCCUCUCAAUUAGGCCACUUCCCGCCCCUUCAUUCUCCCUAUUCCCUCUCUCUAUUUAGUGAACGACGAACGUCGACAAGGAAACGCUUUCUCGGUUCUGUUCCCGGGGCUUCCAGGAGCACGAAAUCAGCAGAAAAUGGUGUCGCCGAAGCAAAUUCUCUCCACCGUGGAGGCGUCGCUGCACGGCCCAACCCCUCCGACGCCGUCGCAGAGGAUGGAGCUCAUGCUUGCCAUCCGCCGCUCUCUCCCCUCCCUCCAAUCCCUCGUAUCAUAUCCCCUUCCGAAACCGGCUGACCGGACUCAAGUUCAGUCGAAGGAAGUCCGGCUUCCGGAUUCUUCUUCAAUUUCGCUCGACGAUCAGGAUGUUGAGAUUAGAUGAACAAAGAUUUCAAUCUUGAAUACCUCUGGUUUCUAUAUGUUCAACAGUGAUGGACAUUGCAUGGAGAUGCAAGGGACAUUUGAAUGAUUGAGCCUGUUUUAUUACCACAUGGAAACACAAACUCAAGAUGAAAACCUAGUUUUAUCAGCCGCCAGUCUCAAACCCGAUAGUGGAGGAGGGUUUUUCAGUAGCUGACAGUCGAUGUAAAAUCUGUUGGAUCAAACAACAUGAGAUCUAGACAAAUCCUGAAAUCUUGACAAGUUUGAAUUCAUGUAUCAACUUGUCAUAGUAAGAAAUCUUGACAAAGUUUGAAUUCAUGUAUCAACUUCGCAUAACUCUAAGCAGCAUGGUUCUGAUCAGUGAGCAAAGCGUGUGGGCUGGGCUUUACCAAAUCUGGCCCAAGAGGCACUAAGUCUAUCCUCUCGCAGUGUAGGAGAAGUAUCGGAUUUAGAGACUCUGGGUUUUGUUCUUCUCAAUGGAAACAGCUGAUAUGUACCAACACCCACAAUCAUAUGGAUGUGUAAGAAGAGAGAAACUAAAUUGAUGAUGGUGGUGAUCAUGAUAUUAAUUUAUACAAUGAAUUUGAGGUUCAAUUCAGUGGUCCUGGCAUGGCAGCUGCAGGCAAUUGCAAAUUAUUAUGUGUGUGGGGGGGAGGGGUGUGUGGCGGCCCACUUAUGCAUCAUCAUCAGAGAUUAACCAUAUAGUCGGUGUGUCGGCAGCUGCUCCUUAAAACAGUCCAUCAAGGUAAUUAAGGUAUACCUACUUCUUCUGUUAUAUAUAAUUUUAAUUUUGUUUUAAUGCCGUUGCUACUGUUAAUGAUUUCCAAUGCUUUCAAAGAGCUGGUUCUUGAUGCCGCAUUUCUUAGCUCUUGCCAUACUCAUUUUUCAGUAUACCCAAUGCACAGAAUAAGAGAUUAAGAGCAUGUUAGAUUAAGAUCAAGUAGGUAUCUUUAACAGGGAAACAUCUUAUACAUUGGGGGGGGGGGGGGGGGGGGGGGGUUGCACGUUUCUUACUGUAACCCAAGUUAUUUUCUUAUGUGAUGUGGUAACUUUUUUCUUAAUUAGGUAACAAAAUUGAGAAUUAGUAGAUGUUGAUCAUUACUUGUGGAUAAGAAGUAAUGAGCGUUUAUUAUUUUUAAUUGUGAAGUUAUUCUUUUCAACCACAUGGCAACAGGGGGCUAUGACAUCGUAACUUUUAAGGUUUUUUUUAUUUUUAUUUCUCUCUUAAUUUUUUAAGAUUUUUCAUUUGCUCCUUUUAACCUUUAAAAUUUUUUCACUUACCCUCUAUCCUCGAGCAUUUUUCAUAGGUACCCCACUAUCCUUCAAAGUUAUUUUUUUUUAAUUUUUUUAUUUUUUUACCUACAACCAUGGUUUUUCCAUCACAUUUAGAAUUUACUUCAUAGUUUUUGUAAGAAUGACUUCCUAACUCUUGUGCUAAGAAAAAAACAAAAUAAGUAUAAUAAUUUUAUAAAAAUGAAUAAGUACAUAUAUUUUUUAUUUUAUUUUUAUCUUAAGGUAUAUAUUUUGAUUGAACCUUGCUAAUAUAUAUAAAUGCAUAUAUAAGUGUAUAUAUGCUCUGCCCUCUCCACCAUAAUGAUUAGAGUCAAGAAUGUAUAUAUAAGCUUCUAAGACCUUACAUUUUUGUGCUUAUACUUUCUACCACCCUCUUUAUAAAAUCUAGGCCAUUCUACUUAAAUAUUGAAAAAUCUCUUGUAAGCAUCACACAAGGUGACGUUAAAUAUAUAUAUAUAUACUCCAAUCACAGGUAAAUUGACCAAAUGCAAAUUAUAGAGUGUUGUCAACUCAAUAUGUUGUGCAGAUUUACACACUAAUGAGAGCUCAAAAAUCUUUUUGUAAAUCGUAUUACACACUAAUGUGUGUGUUUGUGUGUGUGAAGAACAAUGUUUGAAUAUAUAGCUUCUUCUUUUUUUUUUUUUUUCUUAUAAAAUAUAUAUAGCUUAUUUGGGUGGUGUUUCAUUUAUAA